GUAAACCCAAGGUUUCCAGGGGAAGGUUCGUCCGCCCUGGGUUAGUCGGGACCUAAGCUGAGGCCGAAAGGCGUAGGUGAUGGACAACAGGUUGAUAUUCCUGUACUACCGAUAACCAUUUGAGAGAUGGGAUGACACAGUAGGAUAAGCUAAGCACACUGUUGGUUAUGUGUGCCCAAGCAUUGAGGCAGUCAAAGUAGGCAAAUCCGCUUUGAUAAUGCUGGGAUGUGAUGGGGAGCGAAAUU
RNAcentral lists this ribosomal RNA (245 nucleotides) under Clostridioides difficile. Its description in RNAcentral is "partial 23S ribosomal RNA". It matches the Rfam family "Bacterial large subunit ribosomal RNA", at positions 1339 to 1580 of the family's 2925-position model. Lineage: Bacteria; Bacillati; Bacillota; Clostridia; Peptostreptococcales; Peptostreptococcaceae. The record is from RNAcentral.